CCUACGGGCGGCUGCAGUGGGGAAUAUUGGACAAUGGGCGAAAGCCUGAUCCAGCCAUGCCGCGUGUGUGAAGAAGGCCUUCGGGUUGUAAAGCACUUUCAGUGGGGAAGAAAGCCUUGGGGCUAAUACCCUCGAGGAAGGACAUCACCCACAGAAGAAGCACCGGCUAACUCCGUGCCAGCAGCCGCGGUAAUACGGAGGGUGCGAGCGUUAAUCGGAAUUACUGGGCGUAAAGCGCGCGUAGGCGGUCUGAUAAGCCGGUUGUGAAAGCCCCGGGCUCAACCUGGGAACGGCAUCCGGAACUGUCAGGCUAGAGUGCAGGAGAGGAAGGUAGAAUUCCCGGUGUAGCGGUGAAAUGCGUAGAGAUCGGGAGGAAUACCAGUGGCGAAGGCGGCCUUCUGGACUGACACUGACGCUGAGGUGCGAAAGCAUGGGUAGCAAACAGGAUUAGAUACCCUAGUAGUC
This 465-nucleotide ribosomal RNA is filed under the name Vreelandella stevensii. Its description in RNAcentral is "partial 16S ribosomal RNA". It matches the Rfam family "Bacterial small subunit ribosomal RNA", at positions 338 to 795 of the family's 1533-position model. Lineage: Bacteria; Pseudomonadati; Pseudomonadota; Gammaproteobacteria; Oceanospirillales; Halomonadaceae. The record is from RNAcentral.